RNAcentral lists this ribosomal RNA (680 nucleotides) under Oceanobacillus sp. Its description in RNAcentral is "bacterial SSU rRNA". It matches the Rfam family "Bacterial small subunit ribosomal RNA", at positions 51 to 698 of the family's 1533-position model. Lineage: Bacteria; Bacillati; Bacillota; Bacilli; Caryophanales; Bacillaceae. The record is from RNAcentral.
AUACAUGCAAGUCGAGCGCAGGAAGCAAGCAGAUCCCCUUCGGGGGUGACGCUUGUGGAAUGAGCGGCGGACGGGUGAGUAACACGUGGGCAACCUGCCUGUAAGACUGGGAUAACCCCGGGAAACCGGGGCUAAUACCGGAUAAUACUUUUCUUUGCAUAAAGGAAAGUUGAAAGGCGGUUUCGGCUGCCACUUACAGAUGGGCCCGCGGCGCAUUAGCUAGUUGGUGAGGUAACGGCUCACCAAGGCGACGAUGCGUAGCCGACCUGAGAGGGUGAUCGGCCACACUGGGACUGAGACACGGCCCAGACUCCUACGGGAGGCAGCAGUAGGGAAUCUUCCGCAAUGGACGAAAGUCUGACGGAGCAACGCCGCGUGAGUGAUGAAGGUUUUCGGAUCGUAAAACUCUGUUGUUAGGGAAGAACAAGUCGGGUAGUAACUGACCCGGCCUUGACGGUACCUAACCAGAAAGCCCCGGCUAACUACGUGCCAGCAGCCGCGGUAAUACGUAGGGGGCAAGCGUUGUCCGGAAUUAUUGGGCGUAAAGCGCUCGCAGGCGGUCCUUUAAGUCUGAUGUGAAAUCUCGCGGCUCAACCGCGAACGGUCAUUGGAAACUGGAGGACUUGAGUACAGAAGAGGAGAGUGGAAUUCCACGUGUAGCGGUGAAAUGCGUAGAGAUG